CGAUUUCAUCUCUGUUAUCUUCGGCUGCCAGCGAGCGGGGAUCGCUGUAAUCCCACUCGUGCCACCGUCGGCUUCUUCUAACAAAACCAAGAGCGGUAAGGAUAUCAUGGAAGUCAUUCUAGAGGCCUCACCAGUGGCAUUUAUUUCUCCGAAAUCGUUGAGCGCGCAACUUGAUGGAUCGUCCGCAAAAGCCAUCGCCGAGUACUUCAACCUGCGCUGGAUAGCACUGGAGCCAGACAAGAUCCACAGUGUCAGUUUGGAGUCAGUCGACGAUGAUUCUUACGUGAGGCUUUCCAGAGCGGAGGAUUUGUUCCUGAUCCAGUAUACUUCCGGAUCGACUGGCGCUCCAAAACCGGUGAUGAUCUCCGCUGGAGCGGCAGCGCACAACGCUCGAGCGGCUAGAAGAGCUUACGA
This 414-nucleotide long non-coding RNA is filed under the name Selaginella moellendorffii. Its description in RNAcentral is "long non-coding RNA (SMOE_LNC001828)". Lineage: Eukaryota; Viridiplantae; Streptophyta; Lycopodiopsida; Selaginellales; Selaginellaceae. The record is from RNAcentral.